Molecule: non-coding RNA, 148 nt
Filed under: Chlorocebus sabaeus (green monkey)
Lineage: Eukaryota; Metazoa; Chordata; Mammalia; Primates; Cercopithecidae
Source: Rfam by way of RNAcentral
GCCGGGUGUGGUGGCGCACACCUGUAGUCCCAGCUACUUGGGAGGCUGAGGCAGGAGAAUCACUUGAACCCGGGAGGUGGAGGUUGCAGUGAGCCGAGAUGGCACCACUGCACUCCAGCCUGGGCAACAGAGCAAGACUCUGUCUCCA